This 803-nucleotide ribosomal RNA is filed under the name uncultured bacterium. RNAcentral's name for it is "bacterial SSU rRNA". It matches the Rfam family "Bacterial small subunit ribosomal RNA", at positions 54 to 852 of the family's 1533-position model. The record is from RNAcentral.
CAUGCAAGUCGAGGGGCAGCAUAAUGGUAGCAAUACUAUUGAUGGCGACCGGCGGACGGGUGCGUAACGCGUAUGCAACCUACCCUUUACAGGGGGAUAACACUGAGAAAUCGGUACUAAUACCCCAUAAUAUUCUGGGAGGCAUCUUUCGGGGUUGAAAGCUUUGGUGGUAAAGGAUGGGCAUGCGUUGUAUUAGCUAGUUGGUAAGGUAACGGCUUACCAAGGCGACGAUACAUAGGGGGACUGAGAGGUUAACCCCCCACAUUGGUACUGAGACACGGACCAAACUCCUACGGGAGGCAGCAGUGAGGAAUAUUGGUCAAUGGACGGAAGUCUGAACCAGCCAUGCCGCGUGCAGGAAGACGGCUCUAUGAGUUGUAAACUGCUUUUGUACGAGGGUAAACGCAGAUACGUGUAUCUGCCUGAAAGUAUCGUACGAAUAAGGAUCGGCUAACUCCGUGCCAGCAGCCGCGGUAAUACGGAGGAUCCAAGCGUUAUCCGGAUUUAUUGGGUUUAAAGGGUGCGUAGGCGGUUUAGUAAGUCAGCGGUGAAAUUUUGGUGCUUAACACCAAACGUGCCGUUGAUACUGCUGGGCUAGAGAGUAGUUGCGGUAGGCGGAAUGUAUGGUGUAGCGGUGAAAUGCUUAGAGAUCAUACAGAACACCGAUUGCGAAGGCAGCUUACCAAACUAUAUCUGACGUUGAGGCACGAAAGCGUGGGGAGCAAACAGGAUUAGAUACCCUGGUAGUCCACGCAGUAAACGAUGAUAGCUCGUUGUCGGCGAUACACAGUCGGUGACUAAGA